GGUCAUUGGUUUAUGACUGAAGCCAGCUAUGUCACUGGCUUUGGGUGAGAUGGUAGUGCUGCCUCUCAGGCCCAACCCCUGGCAGUCAUUCUUCCACUUCCAAGAGCUUGUGCACACUCAAUAGUAAUUCCUUAAGGCAGUGACUUUUGAUGAGAUCAUUUCAUUCCCUCUUCUCUCUACUAACAGAGAGCGAAAUCAUGGAGCCUUCCAAGACCUUCAUGAGAAACCUGCCAAUCACACCAGGCUACAGCGGCUUCAUACCAUUCCUCAGCUGCCAAGGAACGGCCAGAGAGGAUGACAUGAACUACUGUGUGAAAACCUUCCAGGAGAAAACACAGCGCUAUAAAGACCAGCUGCAGGAAUUUUGCUGCGCAGUGGCCACUGCCCCAAAACUGAAGCCUGUCAACUCCGAGGAGACGGUCCUGCGGGCCCUGCACCAGUACAAUCAGCAGCACCACCCUCUCCUCCUGGAAUGCAAAUACGUAAAGAAACCUCUCCAGGAGCCUCCAAUCCCUGGCUGGGCAGGCUACCUGCCGAGAGCCAGGGUCACUGAAUUUGGCUGUGGCACGAGAUAUACUGUCAUGGCCAAAAACUGCUACAAGGACUUCCUGGACAUCACAGAGAGGGCCAAGAAAGCACAUCUGAAACCAUAUGAAGAGUGAGUCUGGCUUGGGUCGACACCCCAGGCACAAGAUCAAAGGGAGAAGUGCAAACCCCGGACGGGGGUUUACCAGAUGUCCCCAUCCCAGCACUAGGACGAUUUGUGUGUGAUUUGUCUUAGAAAAGGCGCCUCAUUUGUAGUUUCAGGGCUUCCCCAGUAGGCAGCUGCCCCCUGCUCCUGACCUGCGCUCAGCAUUUUCCAGCAGCUCUACCUGUGGUCUUUGCUGGUUUGCAGGGAGGGGCUGGGAGUAAAAACCAGCAGGGCUACCAUCCUGGCAGUGGCUUACGGCCCAAGGGUGCUGAGUGGCCUCAGUUUUCUCUUCUGCAAAAUGAGGAGGAUGAUCUUUCCCUUUAGAAUAAAUUAAUAUACGGAGUUAGCUCCACAAAAACUUCUGCUCCUUCUCCAAAAGUUUUGCAGCAUAAAGAGCUGCUGCCAAA
This is an RNA transcript of Cercocebus atys (sooty mangabey), 1098 nucleotides long. It is a transcript of the gene named chromosome unknown open reading frame, human C10orf82, with no coding region annotated. The record is from RefSeq and is a predicted model, not a curated record. The transcript is spliced from 4 exons. Lineage: Eukaryota; Metazoa; Chordata; Mammalia; Primates; Cercopithecidae.